UACGGGGGGGGCAAGCGUUGUUCGGAAUUACUGGGCGUAAAGGGCGCGUAGGCGGCCUGCUAAGUCGAACGUGAAAUCCCUGGGCUCAACCCAGGAACUGCGUCCGAUACUGGUUGGCUUGAAUCCGGGAGAGGGAUGUGGAAUUCCAGGUGUAGCGGUGAAAUGCGCAGAUAUCGGGAGGAACACCAGUAGCGAAGGCGGUUCUCUGGGCCGGUACUGACGCUGAGGAGCGAAAGCGUGGGGAGCAAACAGG
Molecule: ribosomal RNA, 253 nt
Filed under: uncultured bacterium
Lineage: Bacteria
Description: partial 16S ribosomal RNA
Rfam family: Bacterial small subunit ribosomal RNA
Source: RNAcentral